UUUAGAGAGAAAUGAGAGCUUAUGUUCUCAUCCUUUCCCCAAAAGAAAACCCUAAAUGAAUUCUGGCUAUAAAGUCAUAUUUAUACCUUAAUUCAUUGGAGUGGCAAACUUGUAAAUAAGUCCAAAACUCACUCCAUCUCUAAAUGGCCGGCCUUAGGGUAUUAUUGGGCUAAUUUGGCCUUUGUGAAUCAUUAUUCAUUAAGUUAUCAUACAACUUAAUUCAAUGGGUUUGACAUUCGAAGCCCAUUGGGCCUUAAGGUCCAAAACUAUCUCGAGGUCUUUAACGAACUUAUUCGUUUGAUUAAUUAACAUAUUAAUUAAUCCUUGCCAUAAAUAAUUAAACCAUUUAAUUAUUCUUACUCAUCUCCAUUGUUUCUUCAAUCUCCACCUUACACGGUGUACGAUUCAUUAGGUUCCUUUUAGCGAGGCAGUGGGCGAUUAAAACCAUUUCAAAUCGAUUGUG
RNAcentral lists this long non-coding RNA (463 nucleotides) under Malus domestica (apple). RNAcentral describes it as "long non-coding RNA (MDOM_LNC006640)". Lineage: Eukaryota; Viridiplantae; Streptophyta; Magnoliopsida; Rosales; Rosaceae. The record is from RNAcentral.